This is a non-coding RNA of Zootermopsis nevadensis, 671 nucleotides long. The record is from RefSeq and is a predicted model, not a curated record. NCBI's taxonomy places the organism in Eukaryota, Metazoa, Arthropoda, Insecta, Blattodea, Termopsidae.
UGAAUCAAACAGAACAAACAUGUUAGAGACCUCUACAUGGUUUAAAUGAAUUUAAGAAAGCUCACAAAUGAAAGAGUAACUCAGUAAAAAGGUGUUCUACUUGCAGUAUCCCACAGUAUUCUGAGAAGGUUUGUGAAUUACACGACUUAAAUCUUUUGAGCGCCCACGGGGUUAAAGAUGUUAUAUAUGAUCGCAUAUGUCUGCAUUUUUAAGUUUAGACUAUUUCUGAACGCAUUUAUAACCGUCCUACUUUACAUCAAGUCCCGUACUACAUAAUAAAUGGCACAUCUUGUUAGCAUGAUUGAUACAAAAAGCUUUUAAUGCCGUUCAGAUAUUUUAGAGGUAGCAAGGUAGCGUGUAGACGGCCGGAAUGUUUCACUGCACGUCCCGAUUUUUACUUUUCUGAAUGCGACUACACCAUUUACACUCUCUGCAUUUUCCAUACGAAAUCAGUGCAAAAUGGCGCAUGUUGUAGUUAAAUUAAGCGUCUUCUUGUUCAUAAUUUUUGCUUUUGAUAGCGACAGAUGUUUUAGUGACGUAACAAAGUGUGAUUUAAUUAAGGAAGACUACAUCGAUAAAAGAAACAAACCAGUCUUGCUGAAAAACGUAAAUCCUCUACUCAAAUGGGACCAUUUGAACUAACACGUUCUCGUCUCAUGAGGGAAUCGAAA